AGGUGAGCUGUGAUUGACAGCUACUGUCACCUAUCAGGAAGGGGCAGUCCCUUUUUAAGCACUGAUUGGCUGCUGCUCGGAAUGCGUCAUGUCCUCUGUUUUCCCCGGGUGUUUGCAGCAAUAGCGACAGGUGAGAAUUGUUAAUGUGCUGUUCGUAGUUUUAAUCUGUAUGUUAUUUAAAACUUAGUUUGUGUUGGUUUUAGCGUGUUUGUCCAGCGUACUGGUGCCCUGGUGCUGUUGGUGGCUUAAAUGACUGUGCACCCUCAGUUGGCUGUGGUUGACCUGUUGUAGGUUAACCAGUGCUGUAAAAGACGUUAAUGUGUCUGGGGUGAUGCCACUGUGCGGGUUCUCCCUUUUGUUCUACGUGGUUUCCUCUGGUUGCUGCCUGUUUGAGUCUCGUGCUGUUUUAUCGCACCGCUGUAACAUUACAUUAUUGUCACCGCUGUAAACCGGACUGUCCACUGUCUGGUUCCUGAACUUGAGUGUGUAUUAUCUUGAAGUGGAGGAUUAGCGCAUCGGAGCCGGCGUAUGGACUUUGGUGUUUGCGCCAUGACUUUCGUGUAGCUUCAGCUGCCAGUUUUCUUUGUUUGUUUGUUUUUGUUUCUAUUGUAAAAUUUGUAUAUUAUUGUUUUGAAUAUUUAUUUUGCUUAAUAUCCUUUCAGGAGCUGGGGUCCCCACGGGUGAGGGAUCUUGUGGUGGUGGUGGUACCGCUCAACGGUUCCCGUGUUACACAUUUGAAGUGUAUAAGUGUGUGUACAUUGAGUUCACGGUGUGGUGUGCGAAAGUGUGCUUUUGGACAACUUGUGCCAGUGAUCCCUCGAGUGGGUAACCUCAGCUCUGUAGGUUUGUGUAUUGUUUUAAUUAGUUUAUUAUUUGUCCUCCUUUCCACGCACUGCAUUGUAGCAGUGAGGACCAUUAACCCUUCAAUUGUUUUGUAUUUUUGUGUAACCUUGUGAUUGUGAUGUUUUAUGUCAUUUGUUUUAUGUAUUUACUGCAGUGAGACAGAUUUGUUUUGAAUAAUGUUGUCUUCUGUUUAUUUUACAUCUAGCUCAUUGACAUGAACACAGAAUAUUGUGUAAUAAAAAUUAUAUUUUUUGUACUAUACCCACGUUUUCUGCUCCCUUCACUUUUAAGAGGAACGAACCUGUGUGCCUUACCGCCCUUCUGGGUGUAAGGAAUAUUUCCCUGGGUGUAAGUCCCGGGGUGGCGUAGUCGAAAUUUUAUGCAAAGUCUUUCUUUCGUCACGAAGCUAAACUCUCACCCCCUCGUCAUGCCACAUUUGGCGUAGUGUCGGCAGGAUCCUCAAAUUUGGAGUGAAGAGACGUGGGUAUUGUUUUUAUGUAUGUGGGAUUUUGUUUGUCUUGUAGGAACCAGACAGCGGCAGUUUUCGCGUCGGAAUCCCAGCACAAUUUGUGGCUGGACUUGCGCGGUUCAAUCGGUUGCGGUAAGUGGUUCAUGGGUCUAGGAAUAGAGGACGAAUCGCACAGGUUAAGCAAUUUUAGAGGCUCCGUAGAGGUAAAAUGUGUUAUUGGGUUAAGAACAAAAGGGAGAAUCUGAAUGUAUUGUUAAGUGGAGGGCCAGCUAGGUUUUUGGGCAAGGCUGUGAAAGUGGGGAUGUCGGGCAUGGCGUAUCAUUAAAGGCACCACUAAAACUGGUUGUCGUCAUCCGUUCUGUAUGAUCUGUACACUUCUAUAGUGCCUGAAGUUGGGGUAUUACUGAUGUAGUAUUUGCCUGUAACUUUGAUUUUAUGGUGGGGUUAGGAGGUACUAUCGGUCCCAUGUCAUUAGUUAUUGGAUGGUGUCCCUCUGAGUCUGAGGUGGAACCAUCCAGUAAGGUUUAUUGGUAGGAGAUGUACCCCCCAGGUGAGUCAUUUUCAGAUGGGGUCCCUCAGAGUUUGGGGUGAAACUAUCUGAUGAAUUUUAUAGUGCAGGAGCUGUAUCCCCCAGGUCAGUCAUUUUUCAGAUGGUGUCCCUCAGAGUUUGGGGUGAAACCAUCUGAGAUUUUUAUUUUAUCGGGAAGCUCUUGUUUUAGUUAUUUGUCAUUGGAGAUUACGUCAGGUUAGUUCUCCAAUUGAUACCACUUCUUGUAAUUGGCGGGCACAGCGGAUGUGUCUGCAGAGUGGAUUGUAGAUUUGUGCCUUUUCCCGACCUUGGGGCUGAGCACCCUGAGGUGGGUUUUGUUUAGUUCACCGUCGGGGCGACGUUGCAGAAACUUGGGGUGGAUUGUAGCAGGAUUAGGUGAGCUGUGAUUGACAGCUACUGUCACCUAUCAGGAAGGGGCAGUCCCUUUUUAAGCACUGAUUGGCUGCUGCUCGGAAUGCGUCAUGUCCUCUGUUUUCCCCGGGUGUUUGCAGCAAUAGCGACAGCGUGUUUGUCCAGCGUACUGGUGCCCUGGUGCUGUUGGUGGCUUAAAUGACUGUGCACCCUCAGUUGGCUGUGGUUGACCUGUUGUAGGUUAACCAGUGCUGUAAAAGACGUUAAUGUGUCUGGGGUGAUGCCACUGUGCGGUAAGUGUCCAACCGCAAAUUGUAAUGUUAGUGUAUGAUGUUUAGAUUUUUAAUAUUAUGUUUGUUUACUUUAGGGUUCUCCCUUUUGUUCUACGUGGUUUCCUCUGGCUGCUGCCUGUUUGAGUCUCGUGCUGUUUUAUCGCACCGUUGUAACAUUACAUUAUUGUCACCGCUGUAAACCGGACUGUCCACUGUCUGGUUCCUGAACUUGAGUGUGUAUUAUCUUGAAGUGGAGGAUUAGCGCAUCGGAGCCGGCGUAUGGACUUUGGUGUUUGCGCCAUGACUUUCGUGUAGCUUCAGCUGCCAGUUUUCUUUGUUUGUUUGUUUUUGUUUCUAUUGUAAAAUUUGUAUAUUAUUGUUUUGAAUAUUUAUUUUGCUUAAUAUCCUUUCAGGAGCUGGGGUCCCCACGGGUGAGGGAUCUUGUGGUGGUGGUGGUACCGCUCAACGGUUCCCGUGUUACACAUUUGAAGUGUAUAAGUGUGUGUACAUUGAGUUCACGGUGUGGUGUGCGAAAGUGUGCUUUUGGACAACUUGUGCCAGUGAUCCCUCGAGUGGGUAACCUCAGCUCUGUAGGUUUGUGUAUUGUUUUAAUUAGUUUAUUAUUUGUCCUCCUUUCCACGCACUGCAUUGUAGCAGUGAGGACCAUUAACCCUUCAAUUGUUUUGUAUUUUUGUGUAACCUUGUGAUUGUGAUGUUUUAUGUCAUUUGUUUUAUGUAUUUACUGCAGUGAGACAGAUUUGUUUUGAAUAAUGUUGUCUUCUGUUUAUUUUACAUCUAGCUCAUUGACAUGAACACAGAAUAUUGUGUAAUAAAAAUUAUAUUUUUUGUACUAUACCCACGUUUUCUGCUCCCUUCACUUUUAAGAGGAACGAACCUGUGUGCCUUACCGCCCUUCUGGGUGUAAGGAAUAUUUCCCUGGGUGUAAGUCCCGGGGUGGCGUAGUCGAAAUUUUAUGCAAAGUCUUUCUUUCGUCACGAAGCUAAACUCUCACCCCCUCGUCAUGCCACAUUUGGCGUAGUGUCGGCAGGAUCCUCAAAUUUGGAGUGAAGAGACGUGGGUAUUGUUUUUAUGUAUGUGGGAUUUUGUUUGUCUUGUAGGAACCAGACAGCGGCAGUUUUCGCGUCGGAAUCCCAGCACAAUUUGUGGCUGGACUUGCGCGGUUCAAUCGGUUGCGGUAAGUGGUUCAUGGGUCUAGGAAUAGAGGACGAAUCGCACAGGUUAAGCAAUUUUAGAGGCUCCGUAGAGGUAAAAUGUGUUAUUGGGUUAAGAACAAAAGGGAGAAUCUGAAUGUAUUGUUAAGUGGAGGGCCAGCUAGGUUUUUGGGCAAGGCUGUGAAAGUGGGGAUGUCGGGCAUGGCGUAUCAUUAAAGGCACCACUAAAACUGGUUGUCGUCAUCCGUUCUGUAUGAUCUGUACACUUCUAUAGUGCCUGAAGUUGGGGUAUUACUGAUGUAGUAUUUGCCUGUAACUUUGAUUUUAUGGUGGGGUUAGGAGGUACUAUCGGUCCCAUGUCAUUAGUUAUUGGAUGGUGUCCCUCUGAGUCUGAGGUGGAACCAUCCAGUAAGGUUUAUUGGUAGGAGAUGUACCCCCCAGGUGAGUCAUUUUCAGAUGGGGUCCCUCAGAGUUUGGGGUGAAACUAUCUGAUGAAUUUUAUAGUGCAGGAGCUGUAUCCCCCAGGUCAGUCAUUUUUCAGAUGGUGUCCCUCAGAGUUUGGGGUGAAACCAUCUGAGAUUUUUAUUUUAUCGGGAAGCUCUUGUUUUAGUUAUUUGUCAUUGGAGAUUACGUCAGGUUAGUUCUCCAAUUGAUACCACUUCUUGUAAUUGGCGGGCACAGCGGAUGUGUCUGCAGAGUGGAUUGUAGAUUUGUGCCUUUUCCCGACCUUGGGGCUGAGCACCCUGAGGUGGGUUUUGUUUAGUUCACCGUCGGGGCGACGUUGCAGAAACUUGGGGUGGAUUGUAGCAGGAUUAGGUGAGCUGUGAUUGACAGCUACUGUCACCUAUCAGGAAGGGGCAGUCCCUUUUUAAGCACUGAUUGGCUGCUGCUCGGAAUGCGUCAUGUCCUCUGUUUUCCCCGGGUGUUUGCAGCAAUAGCGACAGGUGAGAAUUGUUAAUGUGCUGUUCGUAGUUUUAAUCUGUAUGUUAUUUAAAACUUAGUUUGUGUUGGUUUUAGCGUGUUUGUCCAGCGUACUGGUGCCCUGGUGCUGUUGGUGGCUUAAAUGACUGUGCACCCUCAGUUGGCUGUGGUUGACCUGUUGUAGGUUAACCAGUGCUGUAAAAGACGUUAAUGUGUCUGGGGUGAUGCCACUGUGCGGGUUCUCCCUUUUGUUCUACGUGGUUUCCUCUGGUUGCUGCCUGUUUGAGUCUCGUGCUGUUUUAUCGCACCGCUGUAACAUUACAUUAUUGUCACCGCUGUAAACCGGACUGUCCACUGUCUGGUUCCUGAACUUGAGUGUGUAUUAUCUUGAAGUGGAGGAUUAGCGCAUCGGAGCCGGCGUAUGGACUUUGGUGUUUGCGCCAUGACUUUCGUGUAGCUUCAGCUGCCAGUUUUCUUUGUUUGUUUGUUUUUGUUUCUAUUGUAAAAUUUGUAUAUUAUUGUUUUGAAUAUUUAUUUUGCUUAAUAUCCUUUCAGGAGCUGGGGUCCCCACGGGUGAGGGAUCUUGUGGUGGUGGUGGUACCGCUCAACGGUUCCCGUGUUACACAUUUGAAGUGUAUAAGUGUGUGUACAUUGAGUUCACGGUGUGGUGUGCGAAAGUGUGCUUUUGGACAACUUGUGCCAGUGAUCCCUCGAGUGGGUAACCUCAGCUCUGUAGGUUUGUGUAUUGUUUUAAUUAGUUUAUUAUUUGUCCUCCUUUCCACGCACUGCAUUGUAGCAGUGAGGACCAUUAACCCUUCAAUUGUUUUGUAUUUUUGUGUAACCUUGUGAUUGUGAUGUUUUAUGUCAUUUGUUUUAUGUAUUUACUGCAGUGAGACAGAUUUGUUUUGAAUAAUGUUGUCUUCUGUUUAUUUUACAUCUAGCUCAUUGACAUGAACACAGAAUAUUGUGUAAUAAAAAUUAUAUUUUUUGUACUAUA
Misgurnus anguillicaudatus (oriental weatherfish) is the source of this 5575-nucleotide non-coding RNA. The record is from RefSeq and is a predicted model, not a curated record. NCBI's taxonomy places the organism in Eukaryota, Metazoa, Chordata, Actinopteri, Cypriniformes, Cobitidae.